Molecule: ribosomal RNA, 253 nt
Filed under: uncultured bacterium
Lineage: Bacteria
Description: partial 16S ribosomal RNA
Rfam family: Bacterial small subunit ribosomal RNA
Source: RNAcentral
UACGUAGGUGGCGUGCGUUGUCCGGAUUUACUGGGCGUAAAGGGAGCGUAGGCGGACUUUUAAGUGAGAUGUGAAAUACUCGGGCUCAACUUGAGUGCUGCAUUUCAAACUGGAAGUCUAGAGUGCAGGAGAGGAGAAUGGAAUUCCUAGUGUAGCGGUGAAAUGCGUAGAGAUUAGGAAGAACACCAGUGGCGAAGGCGAUUCUCUGGACUGUAACUGACGCUGAGGCUCGAAAGCGUGGGGAGCAAACAGG